GUCCGGGUGGCGGAAUUGGCAGACGCGGGGGGCUUAAACCCCCCUGGCCCGAAAGGGCCGUGUGGGUUCGAUCCCCACCCCGGGCA
RNAcentral lists this transfer RNA (86 nucleotides) under Acidobacteriota bacterium. RNAcentral describes it as "Acidobacteria bacterium (mine drainage metagenome) tRNA-Leu". It matches the Rfam family "tRNA". From Rfam's summary of the family: Transfer RNA (tRNA) molecules are approximately 80 nucleotides in length. Their secondary structure includes four short double-helical elements and three loops (D, anti-codon, and T loops). Further hydrogen bonds mediate the characteristic L-shaped molecular structure. tRNAs have two regions of fundamental functional importance: the anti-codon, which is responsible for specific mRNA codon recognition, and the 3' end, to which the tRNAs corresponding amino acid is attached (by aminoacyl-tRNA synthetases). tRNAs cope with the degeneracy of the genetic code in two manners: having more than one tRNA (with a specific anti-codon) for a particular amino acid; and 'wobble' base-pairing, i.e. permitting non-standard base-pairing at the 3rd anti-codon position. Lineage: Bacteria; Pseudomonadati; Acidobacteriota. The record is from RNAcentral.